AGAGUUUGAUCAUGGCUCAGGAUGAACGCUGGCGGCAGGCCUAACACAUGCAAGUCGAGCGGAUGAAAGGAGCUUGCUCCUGGAUUCAGCGGCGGACGGGUGAGUAAUGCCUAGGAAUCUGCCUGAUAGUGGGGGACAACGUUUCGAAAGGAACGCUAAUACCGCAUACGUCCUACGGGAGAAAGCAGGGGACCUUCGGGCCUUGCGCUAUCAGAUGAGCCUAGGUCGGAUUAGCUAGUUGGUGAGGUAAUGGCUCACCAAGGCGACGAUCCGUAACUGGUCUGAGAGGAUGAUCAGUCACACUGGAACUGAGACACGGUCCAGACUCCUACGGGAGGCAGCAGUGGGGAAUAUUGGACAAUGGGCGAAAGCCUGAUCCAGCCAUGCCGCGUGUGUGAAGAAGGUCUUCGGAUUGUAAAGCACUUUAAGUUGGGAGGAAGGGUUGUAGAUUAAUACUCUGCAAUUUUGACGUUACCGACAGAAUAAGCACCGGCUAACUCUGUGCCAGCAGCCGCGGUAAUACAGAGGGUGCAAGCGUUAAUCGGAAUUACUGGGCGUAAAGCGCGCGUAGGUGGUUUGUUAAGUUGGAUGUGAAAUCCCCGGGCUCAACCUGGGAACUGCAUCCAAAACUGGCAAGCUAGAGUAUGGUAGAGGGUGGUGGAAUUUCCUGUGUAGCGGUGAAAUGCGUAGAUAUAGGAAGGAACACCAGUGGCGAAGGCGACCACCUGGACUGAUACUGACACUGAGGUGCGAAAGCGUGGGGAGCAAACAGGAUUAGAUACCCUGGUAGUCCACGCCGUAAACGAUGUCAACUAGCCGUUGGGAGCCUUGAGCUCUUAGUGGCGCAGCUAACGCAUUAAGUUGACCGCCUGGGGAGUACGG
RNAcentral lists this ribosomal RNA (882 nucleotides) under uncultured bacterium. RNAcentral's name for it is "bacterial SSU rRNA". It matches the Rfam family "Bacterial small subunit ribosomal RNA", at positions 8 to 885 of the family's 1533-position model. The record is from RNAcentral.